RNAcentral lists this ribosomal RNA (71 nucleotides) under Subulona sp. IKF-2017. RNAcentral describes it as "partial 5.8S ribosomal RNA". The record is from RNAcentral. Lineage: Eukaryota; Metazoa; Mollusca; Gastropoda; Stylommatophora; Subulinidae.
AACAUCGANACCUUGAACGCAUAUGGCGGCCUCGGGCUCCAUCCCGGNGCCACGCCCGUCUGAGGGUCGGC